AGGCAAAAAGUCACCAACAAGAAUGAAAUAGUGUCUGCUUCAAAGAACUUACAUUUGUGUGCAAUGGUUGCGGAUAGUAUUUCCCUGGUUGUGUGUGUACCUUGUCCUUAAUACCAGGUAUUCUAAGGGACCUCGGAGACACUU
RNAcentral lists this small nucleolar RNA (144 nucleotides) under Phascolarctos cinereus (koala). Its description in RNAcentral is "Small nucleolar RNA SNORA70 (ENSPCIG00000000781.2)". It matches the Rfam family "Small nucleolar RNA SNORA70". From Rfam's summary of the family: snoRNA U70 seems to be exclusive to mammals and is a member of the H/ACA class of snoRNA which contain H (ANANNA) and ACA box motifs. H/ACA box snoRNAs are involved in the conversion of uridines to pseudouridines (5-ribosyluracil) a constituent of structural RNAs (transfer, ribosomal, small nuclear, and small nucleolar). The record is from Rfam by way of RNAcentral. Lineage: Eukaryota; Metazoa; Chordata; Mammalia; Diprotodontia; Phascolarctidae.